RNAcentral lists this long non-coding RNA (1610 nucleotides) under Musa acuminata (dwarf banana). RNAcentral describes it as "long non-coding RNA (MACU_LNC006397)". The record is from RNAcentral. Lineage: Eukaryota; Viridiplantae; Streptophyta; Magnoliopsida; Zingiberales; Musaceae.
CGGUCUAAAUAAUUAUCCACAUGAUAUAUUUAUACCUGAAACAUGAAUCCUUUUGGCUAUCAAUUGUUAUCCUUCUUUAGUCAAUCUUUAUAUGCGAAUCCAAGUGAUACCACUGACACUGAUCCCCAAGCUCAGCAUUCCAGUGCAUGGUUCCAAGUGGUAGAGGGAUCAUACUCUCCCAAGAUUGAGAAGAAUGUUCAAAGUUUUAAUAGCUCUUGUGUUUAUCCAAAAUUAUGUUACUAACAGUGAUUUACCAGGACUGAUGUCACUGUAGAGAAUGUGAUACUUUACUGGUGGCAUUGUGUCGCCAUCAAGCAUAUGGCCAAGUCAAGUUCCAAGUUCAUCAACAAGCCAUUGGCAAACUGAGCUGAGUUGCAUGCGUGUCAGGUAAAUGCAAUCUUGUUAGCUUGUCGUUGUUCCUGAAGGGGCCAUGACUUGUUGUACACUCAACUUGUUUGAUCUAACACUAAGACUCCUCCUGCAUGCUUGAACCACCAACCACAGAUGGUCAAUGCAAUGCAGUCGAGAAGAUGACACUGCCUGCCACAUACUGAUGGGUCUUCCAUGUCUCCUUGCCGGAAUGGUUGGUAUAAUCUUGCUUGCAGCGUAAUGAUGCAGUGUGUGCAGGGCCAACACCAGAAGAAAUUAGUCUAACUGUGAUUCACUGGGAUAAACUAAUGCUUCUCCUGAUCUAUCACAUGGUUUGUGUACAAUUCCACAUGACACUUAAAAUGGUUUGCCAUGCCCUGCAUCCCUUUAGUUUACUUCCUCUUCCCCUUUCUUUCAUUUCCCCAUCAUGUUAAGCUUUGCGGUUCCAAAAGAAAACUAAUACUACUACAAGGUAUCUUUUGCUUCUGCUAUGCUAAUCAUCCUCUUCUCCUUUCAUUGUGCAGUUAUGCUUGCAGUUUUCUAGUGUGAAGCUUUCAUUCACAGUGGAAGACAAGUUGGUCAGAACAAGGUACCAAGCCAGGGGUGUUCCAUUGGCACAAUGGUGAUUGACGAUUUGGCAAUUUGUCCAAUGUCUGUCAACUGUUGAAUUGACUCGAGACAAGGUGUGUUAGAGAUUGGUGUUAUGAUGGAUGGUGACAACACACUGGUGAUGCACCAAGCUGAUCAGUCAUUUUCAGCUUCAAAGAACAAAAGCAGAGAGCAUUCUGUCCUCAUGCAAAACAUAUCCACUCACUUCACCACACCUCCACUUGUGGUGGAGGGAGGAUUAAAAACCUUCCGAGGACACUUUGGGUCACAGCCCUGCAUGCAUUGGGGGGGUAAGCAACUCUGGUGGUCCUCUUCUGCAUUGUAAAGGUAAAAACACUGGGGUAGGGUUUUGCAUGGACCAUGUCCCUGGGAAAGGAUCUCGAAAACAAAAGCAGAAAGAGAUCACCACAUUGGGAGUAGCAAAGCCUCUCUGUUUUCCUACUGCCCCUACUCUACUUGAGUGAUAUUUAAAACAGAACUGCUCCCGGGACAGCCUUGCACAGCACAGCAAUGGUGUGAUCUAUGAAUCAUCCGUCGCACAUUGAUGUUGGUUCCUUGCAUGAGCAGCAGGAAAAAGUGCAUGAAGAAAGCCUAGGGUUUAUUUGAUCCCUUGAUGUUCCUUGUGAAGUGGU